RNAcentral lists this ribosomal RNA (643 nucleotides) under Vasostoma hexodontium. RNAcentral's name for it is "SSU rRNA". It matches the Rfam family "Eukaryotic small subunit ribosomal RNA", at positions 212 to 851 of the family's 1831-position model. The record is from RNAcentral. Lineage: Eukaryota; Metazoa; Nematoda; Chromadorea; Araeolaimida; Comesomatidae.
AGAACAAAACCAAUCGGCUUUGCCCGUAACGUUGGUGACUCUGAAUAACUACGCCGAUCGCACGGUCUCGCACCGGGACGCAUCUUUCAAGUGUCUGCCUUAUCAACUGUCGAUGGUAGUUUAAUGUGCCUACCAUGGUUGUAACGGGUAACGGAAGAAUAAGGGUUCCGACUCCGGAGGAGGGGAGCCUGAGAAACGGCUACCACAUCCAAGGAAGGCAGCAGGGCGCGCAAAUUACCCACUCUCGGCCCGAGGAGGUAGGUGACGAAAAAUAACGAGACGGGAUCUCUUUGAGGCCCGUUAUCGGAAUGAGAACAAAUUCAAAUUCUUUAACGAGGAUCUAGCGGAGGGCAAGUCUGGUGCCAGCAGCCGCGGUAAUUCCAACUCCGCAGGUGUAUAUCUAUGCUGCUGCGGUUAAAAAGCUCGUAGUUGGAUCUGCGUGCUCGGAACCGGUCGGCUCACUGAGUUCGAACUGGUCUCCGGCGCUUCAUCUGCUGGUUUUCCCUUGAUGCUCUUAACCGGGUGUCUAGGGUGGCUAGCGCGUUUACUUUGAAAAAAUUAGAGUGCUCAAUACAGGCGAGAUGCCUUGAAUAGUGGUGCAUGGAAUAAUGGAAUAGGACCUCGGUUCUAUUUUGUUGGUUUU